AUUGAACGCUGGCGGCAUGCCUUACACAUGCAAGUCGAACGGUAACAGGUCUUCGGAUGCUGACGAGUGGCGAACGGGUGAGUAAUACAUCGGAACGUGCCCGAUCGUGGGGGAUAACGCAGCGAAAGCUGUGCUAAUACCGCAUACGAUCUACGGAUGAAAGCGGGGGAUCGCAAGACCUCGCGCGGACGGAGCGGCCGAUGGCAGAUUAGGUAGUUGGUGGGAUAAAAGCUUACCAAGCCGACGAUCUGUAGCUGGUCUGAGAGGACGACCAGCCACACUGGGACUGAGACACGGCCCAGACUCCUACGGGAGGCAGCAGUGGGGAAUUUUGGACAAUGGGCGCAAGCCUGAUCCAGCCAUGCCGCGUGCAGGAUGAAGGCCUUCGGUUGUAAACUGCUUUGUACGGAACGAAAAGACUCUCUCUAAUACAGGGGUGAAUGACGGUACCGUAAGAAUAAGCAACCGGCUAACUACGUGCC
This 482-nucleotide ribosomal RNA is filed under the name uncultured bacterium. Its description in RNAcentral is "bacterial SSU rRNA". It matches the Rfam family "Bacterial small subunit ribosomal RNA", at positions 30 to 509 of the family's 1533-position model. The record is from RNAcentral.